This 277-nucleotide long non-coding RNA is filed under the name Rosa chinensis. Its description in RNAcentral is "sRNA RchiOBHm_Chr1g0323041". Lineage: Eukaryota; Viridiplantae; Streptophyta; Magnoliopsida; Rosales; Rosaceae. The record is from RNAcentral.
CCACUGAGCUUGUCUCUAUUUUGCUUCAAUACCAGAAAUUUUCUUUCCUUUCGCAUGAAACUUUGCAAAAUAAAUAAGCCCACAUAUGGUGAAGCUCUAGCUAUUGCCCAGUCUCUAAUUGAGUGAUUUAUCGAGUUUUGGGAUUUACCCAAUCAGCCAUUUGAACAAAUUUAAACAAAUUUAAAAGUUCAACCGUUGUACCGAGUCGGGGCCUCCAUCAUUCGCAAACACAUAAGUGGAAGAACCUUACUGUUCAAAGCUCACAAUCAAGAUUGGU